Molecule: ribosomal RNA, 472 nt
Filed under: uncultured bacterium
Lineage: Bacteria
Description: bacterial SSU rRNA
Rfam family: Bacterial small subunit ribosomal RNA
Source: RNAcentral
CGCUAUCACUCCUACGGGAGGCAGCAGUGGGGAAUAUUGCACAAUGGGCGCAAGCCUGAUGCAGCCAUGCCGCGUGUAUGAAGAAGGCCUUCGGGUUGUAAAGUACUUUCAGCAGUGAGGAAGGUGGUGCAGUUAAUAGCUGUAUCAUUUGACGUUAGCUGCAGAAGAAGCACCGGCUAACUCCGUGCCAGCAGCCGCGGUAAUACGGAGGGUGCGAGCGUUAAUCGGAAUUACUGGGCGUAAAGCGCAUGCAGGUGGUUUGUUAAGUCAGAUGUGAAAGCCCGGGGCUCAACCUCGGAAUUGCAUUUGAAACUGGCAGACUAGAGUACUGUAGAGGGGGUAGAAUUUCAGGUGUAGCGGUGAAAUGCGUAGAGAUCUGAAGGAAUACCAGUGGCGAAGGCGGCCCCCUGGACAAAGACUGACGCUCAGAUGCGAAAGCGUGGGGAGCAAACAGGAUUAGAUACCCUGGUAG